CCGCCCCCGCUCAGCCCCGCCUCCGCCCGCUCGCCUCCCUCCCCGCCCCCUCGCGGCCUCGCUGGAUCUCCCCGCCGCCUCGCCGGAUCUCCCCGCUUCCCCAUACAUCGCCCUCACCGCACCGGCGCGCUCCUCACUUCCCCGAGCAGGCGACCCAGGCAGCCUCUGCCAUUGGAACCACCACCUCAUCCUUAUGCGAGCCGUCGUCGGAGCCAUGACUGUGGGCCGACUUUUGCCGCCGUUGCCGCCGCUGGGAUCAUCCUACUUGUCCCUCCACGCGCCACCAAUACAAGCUGCGGAACCGCUGCCGGCACAGCCCUCAGCCGCAUGAAGGAAUUGUCGCCACCUCUUACAGUUGAUGGCAAGUUGACGACAUGUUGAUUUUCCGUCGUACUGAACUUGAUGGACAAGUUCUUAUGUCAACCACAACGAGCGAGAGCAAUUUAUAGGGCACCAGAUUUGCACAGCAAGAUCUAACAUCGACAGGGUGGAUGCAUGCACCUUCACCGCCUGCAGAGGAAAUGGAAAGAGAGGUGGAGCUGGUGCAGGCUUUCCAGGCCGUGGAGGCGGCCGCGCAGAGGUUCUUCGUCACGUACCAACAGGUCGUGGCGGUGGUGUGUGCCACGAUGGAGGCGUCGGGCAAACGGGCGCUGUUCGUGCCAGCGUGCUCCACAUUCUGGUUUGACAUGUAUGUUAUUUUUCUCAAUGAGAACGGUGUUAAAUUAGAUUACUCAGAAUCCCGGUUUUGGCCAUGUAUGUGCAUUUUAAACGUUUGUUUAUAUAUGAACCAAAAACUGAGGUGAGUUGUGAUUUCCGAAUCUGGUGAGGGAAUUAGAAAAACUUAAGAUGAAGUAGGAGAGGGUCUUGAAGUAUACUGCCAUCAACCUGAUCGAUAUGUUCCUCCUUGCAUUUGCUCCAUUACAUGAACUGAAAAUCCAGCAAUGUUGUAAAAGAGAUAAAUAGUGAACUUAUGGGUUUUCAUUUGUAGAUGCUUUUGACUGCUAUAAGUUUCAUAAAAUAUUUUGUCCAUCAAACUCUAUGUUUCUUAUACAUGAAAAAAGAUAUGCAACUGUAGGAAGAAAGAGUACAGUGAUUGCUGGAGAGUGGAGACAGUGGAAGAGGGUGGGAACCACAUGAUCAUUGCAGCGCUUUGCUACUUACCAUUGUCAUGUCGAGGGUGCUCCCGGGUGAUUGGCAAUGCAUGCCAGUUACCAUUUGUUGGUUAGGUAUUUUUACAAAUUGUAAUAGAAAUGGUAUGAGUUCUCAAGCAGGAGCUGGAGCUACUUUUUGUUCGUCAGUUUAAUUUUUACUAACCUAUAACUUAAGUUGCAACUGCUGUGUCAAGUGGCAGCUGGUGAGCCAGAUCAAAAAUGGAUCGAUGAGUGUCAGCAUCCUUGGUUCUGAAGCAAUUCGUGAAGCGUCUCCGGCCAGAACAAUCUGGUGCUUACAGAGUAUUGUCUACCUAGAAGCCAUGUUGCUAUAUAAGUAUAAACACUGGGACUAUCAAGAAGCUGGUGAGUUUCUACCAUCCUUCAUUGUUAGCAUGAUUAGACAUUCAAUAUAUUUAUUCAUAUUCAUAUAUUUUUUAAAUCUAUGCGAAGCUCAUGUUUAGAUACUUGAUGCUGACAUGUGCACCGAAAAUCUAAAAUGAACACAAUUAUUAAUGGAUGAUACUUUGAUCAAUAAUUGCUCUGGCUUCGGUCAUGCACUGAUUUUGCUAUAUUCCGUUCUUCUAAAAACAAUUCAUCACAAAAUUUCAGCUGAGCUCCACUGCAUCUUAUCCCGAAUCUCCGUCGAUUAUUUUUUUCAAAGAUUUAUUGCAUUUAUGACUGCCUUGCCGGCCAUCAUCCCACUCCCCAUGGCAUGGAUGGAGUCUUAGGGCAAAGUUUAGGUGAUUAUUUGGCAAUGCAAAAUUAGUACGCUCGUCUAACUUGGCUACCAUUGGUGCAUUACUUUCUUUGACAACAUAUUUGGACUUUGCAUGAAUACAGAAGUGAUGGUCGGAGUAAUAGCUGUGGAGAAGUAGAGUUGCAUUUUAGGAUAAUGGGUAAAAUUGGAGCUAUGAUUAGUUGUGGGUUUAAGAAUUGAGAUCUAGAAAAUGCAUUGUUCAUUUACUUCAUUUAAACUGGCAUGUCACUUGUCACAUCCAUGGAAAUAAUUUGCUGAAGAGACAACAAAGUUUAGUUUCAGGUCGUGUCUUCUUUUGUUUCAUGGUUGUUUAAACUUUGUGGCGUCGCUGUUCCUGUCGGCCUUCAUUAGGUUGAUGUACUAUUCUCUUCUUAAUAAUAUAUUUAUACACGGAGCAUGUUCAUGGAAAAAAUGAAAUGAGUUUUUGCUACAUUUGAGCAUUGCAUUUUAAAGUAAAGUUUCAGCCAUUAUUUUCUAGCAGAAAUUCAGUGAUCUAUAUGCAAACAAUCCCUCUAUUUCUAGUAAUCUUGUGGGACGUCAGAGAGCAGAUGACAUGAUCACAUCCCCAGUAAAUGUGUCAAUCAUACUAAACCAUUGACAGUUUCUAAUUUUGGAUAUUGAAAUAAUGAUAUUUUCUCGAGUAAAAUGAGAAUACUGAUUAAUCCAUUUUCUAUUUCUGAGCUAUCUUGAUAAUUCUUAGCUAUUUUGAUGUUUCGCUUGAUAGCAAUUAUUACUUUUUAAGAAGACUUAAGUGUGGGAGACUGUGGUUUCAAAUCAGAGAAUUGUGUUUCGAGGUUACUAACAUACUAUUUCAUAUGAACUUCUUUUUCUUCAUUUACAUAUAGGCCAAGAUGUCCUCAAUAUGCCGCAUCUGGAACGUCUAGGAAAAGAUUAACCAUCUGAAGACUCGGUUAUCUGGUUUUAUUUUAAAUGAACUUGUGUGUGGGGGGAGAGCAAUAAAUUCGUGCAUGAACUACCUGUGUUGAUAAAAUAUGCCAGGAAUGAUGUGUUAUCGAUAAUUUUUGGGUUCACUGAACCACGAGCGAGGUGGGAGGAGAGUCAGGCAUAUUAUUCUGGAGUGGCAUAUUUUUGGGUUCACUGAAG
Molecule: long non-coding RNA, 3012 nt
Organism: Triticum aestivum (bread wheat)
Lineage: Eukaryota; Viridiplantae; Streptophyta; Magnoliopsida; Poales; Poaceae
Exons: 4
Source: RefSeq, a predicted model, not a curated record